ACGCUGGCGGCGUGCUUAACACAUGCAAGUCGAACGAAAAUACCAAGCUUGCUUGGUUGAUUAGUGGCGAACGGGUGAGUAACACGUGAGUAACCUGCCCCUUACUUUCUGGAUAACUGCUCGAAAGGGUAGCUAAUACGGGAUAUUCUGGCCUUCCUGCAUGGGUUGGUUUGGAAAGGUUUUUUCUGGUGAGGGAUGGGCUCGCGGCCUAUCAGCUUGUUGGUGGGGUGAUGGCCUACCAAGGCUUUGACGGGUAGCCGGCCUGAGAGGGUGGACGGUCACACUGGGACUGAGAUACGGCCCAGACUCCUACGGGAGGCAGCAGUGGGAAUAUUGCACAAUGGGCGCAAGCCUGAUGCAGCGACGCCGCGUGAGGGAUGAAGGCCUUCGGGUUGUAAACCUCUUUCGUCAGGGAACAAGGCACUGUCUUUUUGGUGGUGUUGAGGGUACCUGGAUAAGAAGCGCCGGCUAACUACGUGCCAGCAGCCGCGGUAAUACGUAGGGCGCAAGCGUUGUCUGGAAUUAUUGGGCGUAAAGAGCUCGUAGGCGGCUGGUCGCGUCUGUCGUGAAAACUUCCGGCUCAACCGGGGGCUUGCGGUGGGUACGGGCCGGCUAGAGUGCGGUAGGGGUAACUGGAACUCCUGGUGUAGCGGUGGAAUGCGCAGAUAUCAGGAAGAACACCGAUGGCGAAGGCAGGUUACUGGGCCGUUACUGACGCUGAGGAGCGAAAGCGUGGGGAGCGAACAGGAUUAGAUACCCUGGUAGUCCACGCUGUAAACGUUGGGCACUAGGUGUGAGGCUCCUUUCCGGGGGUUUUGCGCCGUAGCUAACGCAUUAAGUGCCCCGCCUGGGGAGUACGGCCGCAAGGCUAAAACUCAAAGGAAUUGACGGGGGCCCCACAAGCGGCGGAGCAUGCGGAUUAAUUCGA
This 928-nucleotide ribosomal RNA is filed under the name uncultured bacterium. RNAcentral's name for it is "bacterial SSU rRNA". It matches the Rfam family "Bacterial small subunit ribosomal RNA", at positions 33 to 954 of the family's 1533-position model. The record is from RNAcentral.